RNAcentral lists this long non-coding RNA (433 nucleotides) under Pan troglodytes (chimpanzee). Its description in RNAcentral is "long non-coding RNA NONPTRT000434". Lineage: Eukaryota; Metazoa; Chordata; Mammalia; Primates; Hominidae. The record is from RNAcentral.
CUACAAAAUAUUUUCUUUAAAUUGCUAGAGUAAUAAGAGGAGUUUUAUUAAUCCUCUAGAUGGGUUUUGGUGAAAGGGUUCCCUGAAAGCAGACUUGGUGACAGACACUAGCAUGCAGAAGGUUUAUUGGGUAUGUUUCCAGAGAUGCACUUACAAGGAUAGGUGGGGGAGAAAUUGACCCUUCAUAUGUUGUAACUGAGGCCUUACCAAUGCUACAGGGAGUGCUGGAGCUGAGAUGAGCCUUCAGAAUUGUCUUCUACUAAAGCCAAGGGCCCAACCAUUGUAUCUCUGCAUCAGGCAGUCAUUGGCUAUUGAGCCAUCCCUGGGAGGGGCCUUAGUCUGGAGCCAGAUAGUUCUCUGCCAAGGUCAUUGCCUAGGAAGGGACACAGCUGUGAGCCAUCAGCAGCUGGAGGCUUGUGCCUCAGCCCUGAAG